This 1420-nucleotide ribosomal RNA is filed under the name uncultured Bordetella sp. Its description in RNAcentral is "partial 16S-23S ribosomal RNA intergenic spacer". It matches the Rfam family "Bacterial small subunit ribosomal RNA". The record is from RNAcentral. Lineage: Bacteria; Pseudomonadati; Pseudomonadota; Betaproteobacteria; Burkholderiales; Alcaligenaceae.
AGUUCGAUUAUGGCUCAGAUUGAACGCUGGCGGGAUGCUUUACACAUGCAAGUCGAACGGCAGCACGGACUUCGGUCUGGUGGCGAGUGGCGAACGGGUGAGUAAUGUAUCGGAACGUGCCUAGUAGCGGGGGAUAACUACGCGAAAGCGUAGCUAAUACCGCAUACGCCCUUCGGGGGAAAGCGGGGACCGGCUCGCACUAUUAGAGCGGCCGAUAUCGGAUUAGCUAGUUGGUGGGGUAACGGCUCACCAAGGCGACGAUCCGUAGCUGGUUUGAGAGGACGACCAGCCACACUAGACGAGACUAUGCCAGACUCUCCGUACGGAGGCGGGCAGUAGAAUUUUGACAAUGGAACUUCGAUCCAGCCAUCCGCGUGGCAUAUGCCCUUCGUUAAAAAAGCACUUUGCAGGAAGAAACGGCACUGGAUAAUAUCCCGUGCACUGACUCUGUACUGCAGAUGAAAACCGGCUAACUACGCCAUAGUGCCGCGGUAUCGGGUAUGUUGCCCUGAAUUAUUGGGCAGCGUGCAGGCGUCAGAAAGGUGAGGAAUCCCAGAGCGUAACUUUGAACUGCAUUAACUACCAGUAUUAGAGUGUGCCGAGGGAGUAGUAAUCAUAUGGCAGUAAGAAAUGUGGCAUGCAUAGAACACCGACAGCAGCGAGCCUGGACAAACACUGACGUCUGCAAAACGUAGCAGAGCAACAGCGAUUAGAUACCCUGGUAGUCCACGCCCUAAACGAUGUCAACUAGCUGUUAGCCUUCGGCCUCGGUAGCGCAGCUAAUCGCGUGAAGUUGACCGCCUGGGGAGUACGGUCGCAAAGAUUAAAACUCAGCGAAUUGACGGGGACCCGCACAAGCGGAUGAUGUGGAUUAAUUCGAUGCAACGCGAAAAACCUUACCUACCCUUGAUAUGUCUGAACCUGAAGAGAUUUGGGAGUGCUCGCAAGAGAACCGGAACACAGGUGCUGCAUGGCUGUCGUCAGCUCGUGUCGUGAGAUGUUGGGUUAAGUCCUGCUUAACGAGCGCAACCCCUUGUCAUUAGUUGCUACGAAAGGGGCACUCUAAUGAGACUGCCGGUGACAAACCGGAGGAAGGUGGGGAUGGCCGGUUCCUCAUGGCCCUUAUGGGUAGGGCUUCACACGUCAUACAAUGGUCGGGACAGAGGGUCGCCAACCCGCGAGGGGGAGCCAAUCCCAGAAACCCGAUCGUAGUCCGGAUCGCAGUCUGCAACUCGACUGCGUGAAGUCGGAAUCGCUAGUAAUCGCGGAUCAGCAUGUCGCGGUGAAUACGUUCCCGGGUCUUGUACACACCGCCCGUCACACCAUGGGAGUGGGUUUUACCAGAAGUAGUUAGCCUAACCGUAAGGAGGGCGAUUACCACGGUAGGAUUCAUGACUGGGGUGAAGUCGUAACAAGGUAG